GUAAGAUCAUAAUAAUCGGUCCUGCGGACGCUGGCAGCUACCUCAAUACUCCGGCAACUGGAUAAGCAAUAGCAUCGACGCUAGACCUCUGGAGCACCUGGAUCUGCACACAAGGUGCAGGGAGUAUUGGGUGAGUCUACCAACUCAGCGAGUAAUAAGCAUGUAUAAAAACCCGAAGAUAAGAAAUCACAAAAAAACACAAAAUGAAGCUAUCUAGUAGUUCUAUACAGUACAACCCUCAAAGAUUUGCAUAUAAAGCAAUAGUAAUUAAAUGCAUGAGAUGCAAUGCAAUGCAUGACUACUGCGGCACGUGCAGCUCGCUCCAUUUGGGUACCCGCGCUCACUGUGGGGGUUCAGACUCCUGAGGGGCUAUGAACACUGCGGAACGUGCAGCCCGAUCCAUAUGGGUAUCGGCGCUCACUGUGGGGGUUCAGACUCUGGAGGGGCUCCUACAGCCCAAGCGCCAUAUCAUACAUUGCCAAUAGUUACCAUUGUUUCCAUUAUAAUACAUGGUGUCCUUAGUUACCACCGUUUCCAUCACAAUACCCGGUGUCCAUAGUUACCACCGUUUCUAUUUACAAUACACAGUGUCCUUAGUUACGUUUCCAUUUAAAAUACACGGUGUCCUUAGUUACCAUCGUUUCCAUUUAAAAUACACGGUGUCCAUAGUUACCACCAUUUCCAUUGGUGUCCAUAGUUACCACGGUUUCUAUUUAAAAUACACGGUGUCCAUAGUUACCACCGUUUGCAUUUAAAAAUACACGGUUUCCAUAGUUACCACCGUUUCUUUUUAAAAUAAUAUACAGUCCAAAAAUAGCGAGAUAGUACUCGUCAACCGGAUAUAUCAUUUAAAAAUCAUUUCUGAGCUUGCAAAACUAAUAUUUAAACCCGGACUGAGUUCAAGUAAUAUGUAAUUCAUGAAAAUUCUAAGAUAACGAUCCCUGAAGGAUUCCACAAGUCGGCACAAGGCCCCAAACAUGGAAUCAAGCCGAGAUAUCAUCAAUAUAGUAUGCGAAGCAAUCGCCAACAUAGUACAAAAUAUCCCUCGGAUUGGACCGAGUGACAAUUUCCAACAUAUACGACCCCACACUAGCCAGGCUAGGGCACGUGGCCAAGUCGCGUCUGCGAUGACCAUUUAAAUACUGGGCAAAAAUUACUUCUUCGCGAACGCAGUGCCCAACCGCGAACGCGUACAGCACUGCCACCCCCUUCAUCGCGAACGCGUGCCCUAGCCGCGAACGCGAAGGGAAAUAGCCCUGGGACCCCCUUCACACGACCAAUACCCUAUGCAAACGCACCCCUUUAGGACAUGUGUGAUUAACUUCNNNNNNNNNNNNNNNNNNNNNNNNNNNNNNNNNNNNNNNNNCACAGCAUGCUUCCCAUUUGCGAACGCGAAAGGGACCCAGACCUACACGAACGCGGGACUGCCUCGCGAACGCGAAGGCCAAAAUGGACCUGCAACUAUUGCUGCAUUUCUGCAGCACUAUUUAACCUCCAAACUCCUCGUUUAAUCAUCUAGAAUCACCCCGAGGCCCCCGGGACCUCAAUCAAAAGUACCAACACAACAUAACACCUCAUUCAUACUUGCUCGGGCCAUAAGAACUCUAUCUUUAACAUAAAAAAUUAGCAAAAUCAUUGAAUUUCAUUCUAAGUUAAAGUAGAACUUUUCAAAUUCGCAUUCGAUCCAAAACCCAACCAAACGCCGUCCGGAUGACCUGAAAAUUUGCAGAAAUAUCCAAAAUCACUUUAAAAAGCUACUGCAACUCUCGGAAUUCCAUUCCUACCCUCGGAUCAAAAUCUCACCUAUCAACUGGAAUUUGCCAAAAUUCGAACUUAGCCAAUUCAAGCCUAAUUCUACACCGGACCUCCAAAUUCGAUUCCGAUUUUGCUCCCAGGUCAUAAAUCACCAUCCAAAACUAGUCAAAUCAUCGGAAAUCCAUUUUGAGCUCUCUAACUCACAAGUCAACGUCCAAUUGACUUUUCCAACUUAAGCUUUCCUAAAAAAAUACUAUUGGUCUCAUUUCUAACCAAAUUCAAUCCAACACAUCUCAAACUCACAAAACACAUAUAUCAACACACGGGGAAGCAUAAUACGGGGAUAACGGGGCUGAAAUACAAAAGACGACGGGUCGGGUCGUCACAUAACACGGUCGCUCAACUGUUGUAUUUGAUUUUAUCUGAUUUUAAUACAUGCUAACUCAUGUGCUUUUUAAUUAUAAACCACUUUUUUAAUUAUGGUAAAUGAAUUGCAACAUCGUGAAAAUGCUUCUCAAACCACGUCGCAAUCAAUGCACCCGUAGUUGUCAAUGCACUUUGACUGCGUUGAGAUUUGGAUUUGGGUCUCAUCAAUACGCACCGGAUUUUAAGAAAGUAACUUAAUUAAAUCGCGCCUAAAGAGUCUAACACGAUAUUAUUUUAGGGAAGGUCGUGAAAUUCACUAAACGGCCCUCCCAAAUUCUAAGUAAUUUAUUGAACAUUUAUUGAGGGCCCCGCAUUUGUACAUUUAUUAUUGGACAAGGCUCGUCUCACUUUUUUUUAAAAAGAGCAAGCCUAAAAGUAAUUACGAUUUAUCUAUGUUUUGUUUUGUCUCUAAAAGAGUAAAAAAAUCCUAAUCAAUUAACAUUAUACUAAACCUUGAAUUGAAAUUUCUAAAGCAGGCCCAAUUUAUGAGCCACAUAGUUCUUCGUGGGAAUUGAUUGCAGCAUGUGGGCCUCCAUGUGGCCGAAGCAAAUCAAGCUGCCAGGGGCGAUCAAAUGAUCGAAUCCCCUGGAGUUGGCGAGCUCAUGAUUUAUUUUAAACACUUACCCCUUCUGUGAAUGUUCAGAAUCACAGCCAUCAUUAAUAUUCACCUUAUAGCAAUUACAGGAAUCCAAAACAUAAUGACUUAUAUCUGGGCAUGAAAUUGAGUUAACUCUACUGACCGCAUCAAACUCAUAAAAUCAGUGGAGUACAAAUUUGUUUGACAACUCAAUAUAACCUAACAGUCCAAAUUGAGUUGGUAACCCAAAUAGUUCAAAUCAUUGGCAAAAGUCCUAAUUACAGUCUACACUUAUUAUUCAUGUGCUAUCAACAAAAGUUAACCAAAUAGCUACAACAAUUUGUUAACCAACAAAAUGUAUUCCUCGACAUGUAGAUCUGAUGAAGCAUCUUUAUUUCAACUUCAAUUCAUAAUUACAUCAAAGGGAGUUCAGAAAUGAAUACCUGGGAAUCAAAAUUUCAAUAGGAGAAGAAGUUAGAACAGCAGCAGUGAGCAAAAUUCACCCAGCUAGGAAUCAUAAAAUCAAGUGCCAAUCAAGCAGUCAAACCACAAUCCACACCUUCAGCAAUCAAAAACCCCAACCAAACACGACUAAAUCCCAAUCUAAUUCGAUAUUAAACCCAAUCCAAGUAGCUUAGGGACUUCAGUUAUCAACUCAUGAAUGAAAAGCAACAAAUUAACAACUACACUAGAGAUGGACCAUACAUUCCAUUAGAACAGUUUCUGAUUACUUUUUCUUUGGAGUUUUUCUAUUGUUUUUUUGUUAAGUUUUGAGUUUGAAUUUCAAAGCUCAGACCUGAAACUUGAAGAACAUAUUUUGGGGGGGAAUCUUU
RNAcentral lists this long non-coding RNA (3591 nucleotides) under Nicotiana benthamiana. RNAcentral describes it as "long non-coding RNA (NBEN_LNC019516)". The record is from RNAcentral. Lineage: Eukaryota; Viridiplantae; Streptophyta; Magnoliopsida; Solanales; Solanaceae.